This 490-nucleotide ribosomal RNA is filed under the name uncultured bacterium. RNAcentral describes it as "partial 16S ribosomal RNA". It matches the Rfam family "Bacterial small subunit ribosomal RNA", at positions 30 to 507 of the family's 1533-position model. The record is from RNAcentral.
AUUGAACGCUGGCGGCAGGCCUAACACAUGCAAGUCGAACGGUAACAGGGAUCAGCUUGCUGAUUCGCUGACGAGGGGCGGACGGGUGAGACAUGUCUGGGAAACAGCUUGAUGGAUGGGGAUAACUACUGGAAACGGUAGCUAAUACCGCAUAACGUUGCAAGACCAAAGAGGGGGACUUUCGGGCCUCUUUCCAUCGGAUUAUCCCAGGUGGGAUUAGCUAGUAGGUGGGGUAACGGCUCACCUAGGCGAAGAUCCCUAGUUGGCCUGAGAGGUUGACCAGCCACACUGGAACUGAGACACGGUCCAGACUCCUACGGGAGGCAGCAGUAGGGAAUCUUCCACAAUGGGCGAAAGCCUGAUGCAGCCACGCCGCGUGUAUGAUGAAGGUCUUCGGGUCGUAAAGCACUGUUAGUAGGGAGGAACAGAGGUGAGUGUAAACCUUCGCUUAUUGACGUUACCUGAUCAGAAAGCCACGGCUAACUACGUG